AUUGAACGCUGGCGGCAGGCCCAACACAUGCAAGUCGAACGGUAGCACAGAGAGCUUGCUCUCGGGUGACGAGUGGCGGACGGGUGAGUAACGUCUGGGAAACUGCCCGAUGGAGGGGGAUAACUACUGGAAACGGUAGCUAAUACCGCAUAACGUCGCAAGACCAAAGUGGGGGACCUUCGGGCCUCACACCAUCGGAUGUGCCCAGAUGGGAUUAGCUAGUAGGUGGGGUAAUGGCUCACCUAGGCGACGAUCCCUAGCUGGUCUGAGAGGAUGAACAGACACACGGGAAGUGAGACACGGUCCAGACUCCUACGGGGGGCAGCAGUGGGGAAUAUGGCACAAUGGGCGCAAGCCUGAUGCAGCCAUGCCGCGUGUAUGAAGAAGGCCUUCGGGUUGUAAAGUACUUUCAGCGGGGAGGAAGGCGGUGAAGUUAAUAACUUCACCGAUUGACGUUACCCGCAGAAGAAGCACCGGCUAACUCCGUGCCAGCAGCCGCCGUAA
This 504-nucleotide ribosomal RNA is filed under the name uncultured bacterium. RNAcentral describes it as "partial 16S ribosomal RNA". It matches the Rfam family "Bacterial small subunit ribosomal RNA", at positions 29 to 523 of the family's 1533-position model. The record is from RNAcentral.